AUUAGACGAAUCAUCUGGAAAGAUGAAUCAAAGAAGGUAAUAAUCCUGUAGUCGAAAAUGUUGUCUCUCUUGAGUGGAUCCUGAGUACGACGGAGCACGUGAAAUUCCGUCGGAAUCUGGGAGGACCAUCUCCUAAGGCUAAAUACUCUCUAGUGACCGAUAGUGAACCAGUACCGUGAGGGAAAGGUGAAAAGCACCCCGGAAGGGGAGUGAAAUAGAACCUGAAACCGUGUGCUUACAAGUAGUCAGAGCCCGUUAAUGGGUGAUGGCGUGCCUUUUGUAGAAUGAACCGGCGAGUUACGAUUUGAUGCAAGGUUAAGCAGUAAAUGUGGAGCCGUAGCGAAAGCGAGUCUGAAUAGGGCGUUUAGUAUUUGGUCGUAGACCCGAAACCAGGUGAUCUACCCUUGGUCAGGUUGAAGUUCAGGUAACACUGAAUGGAGGACCGAACCGACUUACGUUGAAAAGUGAGCGGAUGAACUGAGGGUAGCGGAGAAAUUCCAAUCGAACCUGGAGAUAGCUGGUUCUCUCCGAAAUAGCUUUAGGGCUAGCCUCAAGUGAUGAUUAUUGGAGGUAGAGCACUGUUUGGACGAGGGGCCCCUCUCGGGUUACCGAAUUCAGACAAACUCCGAAUGCCAAUUAAUUUAACUUGGGAGUCAGAACAUGGGUGAUAAGGUCCGUGUUCGAAAGGGAAACAGCCCAGACCACCAGCUAAGGUCCCAAAAUAUAUGUUAAGUGGAAAAGGAUGUGGCGUUGCCCAGACAACUAGGAUGUUGGCUUAGAAGCAGCCAUCAUUUAAAGAGUGCGUAAUAGCUCACUAGUCGAGUGACACUGCGCCGAAAAUGUACCGGGGCUAAACAUAUUACCGAAGCUGUGGAUUGUCCUUUGGACAAUGGUAGGAGAGCGUUCUAAGGGCGUUGAAGCAUGAUCGUAAGGACAUGUGGAGCGCUUAGAAGUGAGAAUGCCGGUGUGAGUA
RNAcentral lists this ribosomal RNA (973 nucleotides) under Staphylococcus aureus. RNAcentral describes it as "partial 23S ribosomal RNA". It matches the Rfam family "Bacterial large subunit ribosomal RNA", at positions 328 to 1308 of the family's 2925-position model. Lineage: Bacteria; Bacillati; Bacillota; Bacilli; Caryophanales; Staphylococcaceae. The record is from RNAcentral.